CAGCCAGCACCCUCGCCGGGGUCCAUGCAGCCCGCGGUGAACGCGAAGCCUCCUGACACAGCAGCUGGAGAGGCUUUACGAUGUUGCUCAUCCGUUCAGCAAUGAUUCAUUGAGCACCUCUUCAGCAAUUCUGCAAUUUUGCAAGGUUUUUUAUGACGGCAUCCAUUGGCCACCUCCCAAGGUGGACGGGACACUAGCCAUCCCACACACCAGAGCUUGACCCUCCAUCACUCUGUUCAGUGGGUGAAGUCUGGAAGCUGGUUGAGGACAAAGGGACUCUGAGUUACACAUGUGAACUUUUCUUACAGCAGAAGGGUAUAAAGGGAUCAGCCAAAGUAAGGAUUCAAGAAAUCCACCUGCACUGAAUGGGGAAUUGAAUUCUUGCACACUCCAGAGUGGGAUGGAAGCAUGAAAUUGCUUUAAACUAUUUUUACAACUGGUCAGCCAUUGUGCUAGGUCUGAGAUUUUCCCUAGUUCAUGAAAGGUUUUUAAUAAUUCUGCACAUUUUUGGAACCACUCAGGGUAAGUGUGAGAUGAUCAAAACUUUUUAUGUGACCUCCGUCUAAGGGGUUCACACCUAUUCCUGUUGGUGCCUGUCUAGCUUGGGGUCCUCCAGAAGCAGACCCCAUGACCGAGAUGUGAGUGCAGGUUGUGAGCUUUGGAGGUGAUCCUGAAAAGCAAGAGCAAAUGAGUUGGGAAAGGUGUCAGGGAAUUGUAGGAAACCAGGGCCAGGUGUCCUAAGGAGCAGAUCGCCUCUCUGGGCAUUUGGGGCUCAUUGAACUCUGGGAGACCAAAGAGAACAUGCUUGCAAGUUGUCCCUCCAGAAGGGUGGGAAGCUGGAUGACUUACCCACCCACUCCCUUCCAUCAUGGUUAAGGGCUGCUCUGGGCUUUGACUCUCCAGAGCGUUUAGCCAAGCCAGGUUCUGCAGCCGCAAAAAGCCCUCUGGCACAGGGUCACAGGGACUUGCAGCAAGAAGCCAUGGGCACACCCAUGAGUGGAGGCUGCUGAGGUGACAAUGACGGACUCUAACACUAUCUAAUAAAAGGUUGUACCUCCACUCUCCUCUGCUGCUUUUUUGUUUUCAUUUCUUUGUUAAGUUGGUGCUUUGUGUCUUAUUCUGAUAAACCACUGUGGUCUCGCUCUGUUGUACUUUCCCUCCCUUUCAUCCCUCCUUCCUGUCUGCAGAUGUUUAUUGAGCAGCUACUCAUUUUAGGCCUUGACAAUGAUGGAUGACUGGACAUUUGUGUGCACAGAUCUUUAAUGAUGCUGUGCAUAAGCCAAAAAUACUGUGGACCUUCAAUUGUUUUCUAGUUCAGAAGUUGGAAGAAGGUAUCCAUUCAUGUAUCUGCCCAUCCAUCCAUCCAUCCAUCCACCCACAUCCA
Herpailurus yagouaroundi (jaguarundi) is the source of this 1384-nucleotide long non-coding RNA. RefSeq lists it as uncharacterized. The transcript is spliced from 3 exons. NCBI's taxonomy places the organism in Eukaryota, Metazoa, Chordata, Mammalia, Carnivora, Felidae. The record is from RefSeq and is a predicted model, not a curated record.